Aquila chrysaetos chrysaetos is the source of this 6844-nucleotide RNA transcript. It is a transcript of the gene named translocase of inner mitochondrial membrane 9, with no coding region annotated. NCBI's taxonomy places the organism in Eukaryota, Metazoa, Chordata, Aves, Accipitriformes, Accipitridae. The record is from RefSeq and is a predicted model, not a curated record. The transcript is spliced from 4 exons.
AAACAGCGCCGGUUCCAAUACUGACCCCUGAGGAAUGCCACUCGUCACGGGUCUCUACUUGGACAUCGAGCCGUUGACCACAACUCUUCCCCAGAUACAGCUGUGGAAGUUGUAUUCCCACAGCUAAGAGGUUUUGGAAGCGUUCUGACAUACGUAGUUCUGGCUCCUGUUCCUCCUGCCAUGGAAACGGGUAGAUGAUUGACCCAGGUUAGCUAGGAAUCUUUAACCUAAUCACUGUUUUUAUUUAAUAAACUAGCUUUACCUUUUUAAAAAAAGCUGUCACUCUGUAGUGAUUUCAUGUUUCCAUGGCAAUGGGAGUGGCAGCCACAGCAGAAGCAAAUAUUGGAAGCAUUUUCCAGAUUCUAAAACAGGGCUGGGAGCUGGGAUGGAUCUUUCAUAGAUAAUAGGUCUGAAUAGGCUGAAGCCUUUAUUAUCUUUGGAAAAAGGAUAGAAAAUCCAUUAUGCUUAACUAUGAGAAAUCAAAACCUCAAGUUAUCCUUAACUGCUAAUUUUGCUCAGAGAGGCUUAUCUUAAAAGAAUGUCUCUUUAGAACAUCAAAACAUACUUGGAAGAGCUCCAGGGCCCUUAAAGAAGGGAGAUUUCCCAGCUGCUGCUACUUUGCUGGUAAACCAGCACAUGCAGAGCAUGUGGCCCUUGUUGCAGAGGUUUAUUCAGAGAUAUCUGCUUCCUUCAGUGUGACAUGUUUAAAAGUGCAAUGCUGAAUUUUCAAAUCACAUUUAGCCCAGAAGAGAGUAAUCCAGGCUGCGUAGGCUUAAACCUGAAGCAUGCUGGAGUAGUUUGAGCAGCUAUGUAAGAAGCUAUAUGGUGUGUUAGCUGAGGUGCCAAGCCCCGUAAUGGGCUCUUUCAUCACUUUUCUUUUUUUUUUUUUUCCUGCUUGUUUCACAGGCUGGAGGGAAAGGGGACAAACAACAGGAAUACUUGAUACGUUUAACAGACUUUAACAAUAAACCACAUAUGCACAUUUCUGGGAAUGUUCAGGUAGCACAUUUUCAGAUGUUAAGGCAACUGCCCGUAAUUUAUAGCUACUGAAGAGGUGCAGUAGAGCUGUAUAAUUUCACUGCCUGCUGUGUGGAAAGUGUGAAAUACCUGUAGAGGGACAAGUGCUUCAGACACUUAAAAUCAGAUAGUGCUAUUGUGCUGAUUUAAAUCAGAGCUGUUUCCCAAGUGCAAGUGUAAAAGCUUUGUGGAACUGCAGUUCAGUAAAUCUGUAAUUUUAAGCUUGCCAGACUAGACACAGAAGAACAAAAGAUCAGGUUUGUUAUAAACAAGCAUAAUGAAGCAAUAUUGAGUGUAAGAAAAUGGUGCUGACAGUUGAAGCUUUUAGCUUUCUGUACUUGGGAGAGAACAAGUGUAUCUCCUGUUCUCUGGGGUUUCUAACUCUGUUUAAUAAUCUGCUUAAACUGACUUGAUAGAAUUGUCACUGAUUUUUCUUCUAACAGGCUGAGAAAUGAGAGUGGAGUUGCCAUCCAUUUUCACUAGUUGUUGUCACAUCCACUUCCCCUAAAACAAGUUAGAGGUUUACAUUAACCUAAGUAAUGCCUUGUUUCUUCUGAGCAACCAUAUCCUGUAGGUUCUUCUUAAGAGUAACCUCUGUUGCCUAUCUACCCAUGAGGAAUUCUUGGUUGUGGGGGUAUGCGUCUUAAAUCCAAGAAUUGUAUGUGCUUUUUACCUCCAAUCCCUGAAUUGGCUUCCUGUGUAGUGAUAAAGUGUAAUGGUAAGAGGUAGAUGUUAUAAUAGCUCUGCUACUGCGAGGGGCUAUAGGGAGAGCGCAUGCUUGUGAGAGCUCCAUAACGCUAUUUUUAGUUGCUUAGUUUUCUUUCUGUUGUAGAAAUAAUUAUUAAUGUCUUUUUGUUCUUGUUCAGAAGGCUUGCUUACCCUUCCCCUUCCCCCUGCUGAGAGACUGGAAUAGUUUAAGCUUUCUAAAGCAUGAAUGUCUUGCUCAAAAUUUGGCAAAGCGUAAUACAAGAUUAAUUGUAAGUAGUCCUUGCUAAAGGGCUAAAUGAACUUUUUUCACAAUGUGAUUACACUUCAGUGCUAAUUUUUCUUCCACACGUUGAUGUGAAUUAAACUGAAGGAUCUUGUUCUCAUCAACAUGUAAUACUAGCUUGCAUUAUCACUCAUGUCUUAGAUAACAUGUAAAUUAAGGGAAAAGGAAAACUAGCUUGCAGUAUUCUUCUAGGAAACCUGCAGGGAUACUUUCAAGCCUUAACUCGUUUACUGUGUUGGAUUAGGAAUGUGAGUCUUCCUUGAGGAUGCUUGCUUAAAUUCUUGGAUCUAUGGCUGUUCAUUCUUCCCUUUGUCUGUUUCACUUCUUUUAAGGCCAUUCUCAUUCUUCUAUGUUUUCUUGCAUUUAAUUCACUAUAUUCAAUGACCAGAACAUUUGCUGUAGUUUAAGUGUUUGGUGAGAAUGCAGCUACAUAGAAACCAGGCGUCUGCUUCUCUGAUGCAAGCUGGCUUAUGCUGCAUCUACUCAGAGUGGCUACCAUUUUAUACUUGCCUUUUUUCCUUACUAUUUUUACAGAUGACAUCUAGAGUCACUGAAACUGUAAGGCUAGAAAAUGUUAUUGCUUACUUCUUCCCCCACUCCCACCCUAGUUUUACUUUGUGAGUUUGAAAGCAUUUAUAAAAUACCUUUUUUUUAAGUUGCUAACUGUUUGAAAUGCUUAAAAAGUGUUUAAAGGACAGCAGUUAACAGGUGGAUCUGGGAAGGUUUUAUACCCGGAAUUAACUGGGAUGUUCUUUUAACUGAAUAAAUCUCAAAUAGAUAACUUUCCUUCAAGUGGAUGGCUUGAAAGUUUGCUAGGGAAGUUGCAUUUAAAGACACUUCAAGGACGUGUAAAAUUCCAUUCUGUUGUAAAAUGUUGCAGUUCAUAUGUGUGCUUUUUGUGUGAAACUGAACUUUUAUCUUCAGAAUAGGUGACUGAAUAGGCGGUAGAAUAUGGCUGGACAAAUAUCGGAAUCUGAUCAGAUCAAGCAGUUCAAGGAGUUUCUUGGAACAUACAAUAAACUUACAGAAAACUGCUUCCUGGAUUGCAUAAAGGAUUUCACUAGCCGAGAGGUUAAACCAGAAGAGAUGACUUGCUCAGACCACUGCCUACAGAAGUAUUUAAAAAUGACACAAAGGAUCUCCAUGAGAUUUCAGGAGUACCAUAUUCAGCAGAACGAAGCUCUGGCAGCUAAAGCAGGACUGCUUGGCCAGCCUCGUUAGACAAGAGCACUCUGUUCAGACUUUACAAGCAGUGCCAGCGUUCAUUGGGCAAGAAACAUUCUGGAUUUUCUACUGUUGGCAUGUAUGUCUGGCAACUCAGAAGAGACUUCUGGAUGCUGUUCAGACAGUGGAAACCAUGAAGGGUUAAAAAAGAAGUUAGUCAUAAUGGACUGGCAAUGGAGUCUGUUUCUGAGGUCCUUUUCACUCUACAAUGGAGUAAUAUUGAUACAAACUUUUCCAGGGCCCACAGACUGGGAACCCCAGGGGUCCUCCAAACCCAGCUUCCUUGCCUGAUGCAAGCAUGAUGCACUCCAAGCACUGAGCUUGCUGGCAGUUUUCUCCUUUAAUUGUGUGGAUGCCAAUUGUGUGAAGGCCAACAGAAAGUACAAGGUAUGCACAAAACGACGUCUUUUUUGCUGCUGGAUGAGUACAGAGAGAAGCUUGUGGAAGCUAGCUGUUCUGAUGUUGUGGUUUUGGUUUAGAAAACAACACCAGUCCUUUGAAAGGAUCUUGAUAGCUGAAAUCCUGCAGUCAGAUUGUUAGUACAGUAGAGUGAUAGCUAACAAACAGGCACAUUUUACUUUAGUUCUAACUAAUAAAAUACAGUAACAAAAGGAACUGAACAUCAGGAUUACCAUAUUGAUUUUUGAGAUUUCAAGCGAUGAAGACUGAAACAAAGCUAUUUCAUGUCAGCUGCCAGGUUCUGUUGUUGGGUAGAAAGGCAACAAUAAGGAACAGAAGUGGCAGGAAGCCUGCCCACAUGCUUUUUUGUUGUUACCUUCUCUGUUGCUUUUUAUUUCUAGCAGCAGUUUGAAAGAAUGAUUUCCUGCCUGCUUUUUUUUCUUCACUGCUUAAACUCUCAGCUAUCCAGGCUGUGGAUUACUAGGCCCUGACCGCAGCACCGUACACCUGCCACUUGCACUGGACACUGCUCUGCUUGCUCUUUAAAGCUGCCCCAGCUCUCCACAGAAAUCUGUUCAUAUGCCUUUCAAAGGUGGAAGAAACAACUAUGUUCCUACGGUCUCAUUUACGUGUUUUGUACUAGCCAUAUCACAGCUCUUUCCUACAUAGCCCAUGCCUUGUUACCUUGGAGAUGGCCAAGAGCUAACUCUAAAAUAGUAUAGGCUAAAAAAGAGCCCAAAUAAGGCAGCAAGUCUCCAAUGUCCUGUUUUUUCAAAAGAAUAACUGUCUAGAUUGUUUGCUACAAUUAGGCAAAUUAGAAAUAAUAUAUCCAUAGUAAAGAUACAAGGCUUUCUUUAAAGCAGUUUUUUUGUUUAAACAUUUGAAAAUAAUGCAUGACUGAAAUUAUCCCAUUUUCCAUUGCAUCUUAGUGUGCGAAGAGAACAGUUGCUCAGAAAAGUGACUGAAGAGUUUAAGUGAUGGGACUGCAGGAUGUUCAUGUCUUCUGGGCAAAGCUCCUUGGGGCUCAAGUGAGGGUGGUUAAAAAAAAAAAAAAUCGUGGUUUUCCCUCAUGUUUCAGUGUUUGGGGAUUUGGGCGCAGGAAGAUGUUUAAAUAUUUGUUAAGACAGAUUUACUGUACAAAACAUUAAGCAAGUGUUAGAGGGACUUAGUUAAUAAAUUACUCACUUUCAGCUUCCCCAGUUUCCUUUUAAUCCAGUUUUAAAGCUGCCUUAACCCCCUGUUGUCCAGGGAGAACAUGUAUUCUUAAAAUCUAAUUAGAUGUCACAUCCCCCUGCCUCUCCCCAUGCUCACUAAACAAAUAGGUGGGAUGAAAAGUGUCACUGGAAGUACGAGCAUCGGGUUGAUAGCUGCUACCCUGAAAUUAAGCUGGCCAGACAAAAGCUCCUGACUUCUACAGGAGCAAUGUGCUUAUAGCAACUGUAGUUUGUUUAUGGAUGUACCUGUUAAUUAUGACUAUUUAAAAGCUAACUAGAGUGGAAAACAACUUGCAAUGCUACUGCACAAAGAUGCAGAUAAGAAUGGAGUUACUGGCUCGCUCUUUUGGAUAACCAGUUUUGUCCUAUCUCUGUUUCACUCAAAAAAUGUUGCCAUCUUUCAAUCCAGGUGACUGAUUGAAGAAAGAUGAUACAAAUAUAUUUUAGCUCGGAAGUGCAUCUGUGUAACUAAAGCAUCCAGGUGCUGCAGAAAGCAACAGUGAAAACUUUCUUAGAAGGUUAACUUGCUUUGCUGAGCUUUGACUUCCCUUUGCCUCCUUGAUGACUUCGCACAUCCUGGUGGGUGGCUCAAAUCAUGUUAUUUAGAAAAUAGCACUGAUAAGAUUUUGUUAACAGGACUUGUGGGUUGAGAAUGAUUCAGAACACAAAGUGUUUCAGUGCCUCUCACACAUAUGUUAUGAGCAUGUAUUGGCAAAAUGUUGCAGCUGGUCUUUCCUCCUUGGAGCAAGAUCUCCCAGCACCUGAUUCUCAAAAAUAUUUAACUGCAAAUGCAAAAAUCAGUAUUUCCACAGUGCCUGGAUGCAUGUCCACUGUGAGCGCCCACAAAGGCAGCCCAGGCUGCAUGUUUUCUCUCCCAGCAGAGUAUUCUAACUUCCAUGACAUAGCUUAAAUCUGGAGUGUUCUCCAUUCCUCCUCUUGAAUAGCUUCAAGCUUGCAUGGCAUAAUGAAAAGCACAGCCAAAAUCAGAAUAAAAAUGAGGCAGCUUAAUCUCUGGAUCAUAACUGAAAGGCAACAGUAUUUAAGAUAAGGUGUGUGGAGAGUAGGUGAAUCACCUUGAUGAGGCAUAUUAGGUUAGGUGCAGGAAUGGAACCAAUCCUGACGGAAAGAGGAGCAAAGGGUGAAAAACAGGGUGCUGCUGAAGAAGGAGUACUGAGAAGGCUGUGGAAAAAGUGAGCCACAGAGUGGAGGUUGGAGGGGAGAGAAGGCAACAGCAGUGCAGCCUGCCAAAAACUGGCAUGAUGAGACUGGGCUACUGAACAGACGCUCAUUUGGAGGUGAUGUUCAUUGCAGCACAGCCAGGAACAUAGCUCCUUCCUUCUGAAAUGAGUGUCUGAACCAAAAGGCUAGAAAAGAAUGCAAUUACUAGUCAGCCCACAGAAAACAGAACAAUUUCAACAGGAAGGGUCAAAUGAGAGUCGUGCUCCAGAAUGCCCUGUACAUCAGUGGUACUGGCAGAGUGAUCAGAUCAAUCAUCUGGAAGAUUAUAAUAGAGGUUCCUUGAAUUCUCUCAAGGACAGGAGCAAAGUCCUAAUUUCUGUAACCCCUUGCUGAGAGCUUCCACUACUGAGCUGUCUGUUGGAAGGCCGGGAAAGGAUGUGACUGCAGUCUUCUGUGAGGAAAGUAUGGGUUAAAUACCUAAUGCCCAGAGAUAGAGUGUGGCUGUGACUUCAGUGCAAGGAGGCAUUGCUCUGUACUCUUAAAUACUUUGAGAACUAGAGUUUAUGCAACAGUUCUUUUUUCAACAUUUUCUAUUAGCUAGGUUAGGAAGUCAGAACACAGCAUUUGAGGAAUCUAGUUCAAAUCUUGGGAAGUCCAUUAAGCUCAGCUCCAAAAUUUCUUUAAUGAGUCUGGCCCAAACUCUAAAACCUGUAAAAGCAAUUUGAGCUUGUACCUGAACUUGCAUCAUGCUUGCACCUUGAGUUUCAAAAAGACAGCAUUAAGAGAACUCUAAAAUUUAAAGUUACAAUUCUGCUAAAUA